GACGAACGCUGGCGGCGUGCUUAACACAUGCAAGUCGAACGGAAAGGCCCUGCCUUUCUGGGGUGCACGAGUGGCGAACGGGUGAGUAACACGUGAGUAACCUGCCCCGUACUUUGGGAUAACUCCAGGAAACUGGGGCUAAUACCGGAUACGACCUCCUGCUGCAUGGUUGGGGUUGAAAAGUUUCGGCGGGUGGGGAUGGACGCGCGGCUUAUCAGCUUGUUGGUGGGGUAGUGGCUUACCAAGGCUUUGGCGGGUAGCCGGCCUGAGAGGGUGACCGGCCACAUUGGGACUGAGACACGGCCCAGACUCCUACGGGAGGCAGCAGUGGGGAAUAUUGCACAAUGGGCGGAAGCCUGAUGCAGCAACGCCGCGUGCGGGAUGACGGCCUUCGGGUUGUAAACUGCUUUCGCCAGUGACGAAGCGUGAGUGACGUUAGUUGGUAAAGAAGCACCGGCUAACUACGUG
This 468-nucleotide ribosomal RNA is filed under the name uncultured bacterium. Its description in RNAcentral is "partial 16S ribosomal RNA". It matches the Rfam family "Bacterial small subunit ribosomal RNA", at positions 28 to 507 of the family's 1533-position model. The record is from RNAcentral.